UUUGAAGUUUCCGACAAUUGUUUGAUGAGGUAUUUCCGGUUACGACGAUUAGGAUACCGGGGUACGACUGUUACUCCGACUUCCGACAAUUGGUAUUUGAAUUCCCGACGAUCGUUUGAAGUUCCCGACGAUCGUUUGAAGUUCCCGACGAUCGUUUGAUGUUUCCGACAAUCGUUCAUCUUCAAAGCAAUUCUGUUCGAGGGUUUAAUGAUAGUUCGCUGUUAUGGGCGGCUUUUGGUACGAUAAUAUUACGACGGUUUGGUUUUAACGUAUUUUGAUUAUAAUGAAGUUUUUCUUUUCCUUCUUCUUCUUCUUCUCUUCCUCCUCCUCCUCUUCUUCCUCCAUAUAUACAUUUUCCUCUUCCUCCUUCUCUUCCAUUUCACCUCCUCCUCCUUUCUCUUUCUUCCUCUUCCUCCUCCUCCUCCUCUUCCUUCAUAUAUCCAUUUUCCUCUUCCUCCUUCUCUUCCAUUUCACCUCCUCCUCCUCCUCCUUUCUCUUCUUCCUCCUCCUCCUCCUCUUUCUUUGCCUCUUCCUUCCUCUUCCUUCUUUUUCUCUUCCCUAUUUCUAUCCUUCACCUCCUCCUCCUCUUCCUUACCCUCUUCUUUCCUAUCAUCUCUUCCUCUUCCUCCUCCUCCUCCUCCUCCUCUUUCCUCUCAACCUCCCUCUUCCUCCUCCCACUCCACCUCUUUCCCAGUUUUCUUCCUCCUCUUCCCUUCUCCUUCUCCUCCUCCUCCCUAUCUCCCUCUCUCUCUCCUCCUCCUCCUCCUCCUUUCCUCUCGAACCUACGGACAGCUUGAUGCACUUUCCGAACCCUCUGAAGCUUCACGAAUCCGAAGCAACGAACCUUUAUCGAAACACUUUAUUUUUUUCUUCUUUUUUCUUCCGUUCGUACAAGUUUGAUACACGUAAUGGAUGUGUUAUUAAGAGUUACGAGCUAGUGUCUUUUCCUAUACGGUAUGGUCACCUUCGCAAACCCUCUCUCUCUCUCUCUCUCUCUCUCUCUCUCUCUCUCUGUGUAUGUGGGGGUUUAAUAUGUCGGUUUUUAUGUUUUAUCCUAUACUUUAACGUUUUUUUUAUUUUUUAUGAUGUCGUAACUCUGAUCCGACUUACGACAAUUACUCCGAGUUACGACCAUUGUUGAUUCGACUUCCGACAAUUUCUUCGAGUUACGACCAUCGUUGAUUCGACUUACGACAGUUGUUGAGAGUUACGACCAUUGUUGAUUCGACUUCCGACCAUUACUCCGAGUUACGACCAUUGUUGAUUCGACUUCCGACAAUUUCUUCGAGUUACGACCAUUAUUGAUUCGACUUACGACAAUUACUCAGAGUUACGACCAUUAUUGAUUCGACUUACGACCAUUACUCCGAGUUACGACCAUUAUUGAUUCGACUUCCGACAAUUACUCAGAGUUACGACCAUUAUUGAUUCGACUUCCGACAAUUACUCAGAGUUACGACCAUUAUUGAUUCGACUUCCGACAAUUACUCAGAGUUACGACCAUUGUUGAUUCGACUUCCGACAAUUACUCAGAGUUACGACCAUUAUUGAUUCGACUUACGACAAUUACUCAGAGUUACGACCAUUGUUGAUUCGACUUCCGACCAUUACUCAGAGUUACGACCAUUGUUGAUUCGACUUCCGACAAUUACUCAGAGUUACGACCAUUGUUGAUCCGACUUCCGACAAUUACUCCGAGUUACGACCAUUGUUGAUUCGACUUACGACAAUUACUCAGAGUUACGACCAUUGUUGAUUCGACUUCCGGCCAUUACUCAGAGUUACGACCAUUAUUGAUUCGACUUCCGACAAUUACUCAGAGUUACGACCAUUAUUGAUUUGACUUCCGACAAUUUCUCCGAGUUACGACCAUUCCUUUGAGUUACGACAGUUAUUGACUUGAAGUUCCGAUGAUUAUUUGAUGUUCCGACAACUUAUACGUACUUAGCAUGGACACAAACACAUUAAACUUUUCAAUAGAUUCAACACUUUCCAUCUUUUUUUUUUUCAUUUUUACAAACAACCAAAUUCAAUCCCUCCUUUCUUUCUUUCUUUCUUUCUUUCUUUUCUUUCUUUUGUGAGAGAGAGCGAAGGAUUGCGAAGGGGAACAUCCGCAAACACUUAGGAAGGAGUAAGUUUGAGUUAGACUGUGUGUGUGUGUGUGUGUGUGUGUGUGUGUGUGUGUGUGUGUGUGUGUGUGUUCGUAAGUAUGUUUGUUACUAUAAGUUAUAAUACCCUUCGGCUACCUUAUUACAAUACUGAUGAAAUAGGUUAGGGGGGAGGGGGGUCAGAUGAGGGGGAAGGAGGUCAAAUUAAGGAGGGGUUAAGGGAGGAGGAGGGGGAAGGAGGGGUCAAAUUUGGGGCGUGAAGAGGGAAGAAGGGGAAGGCGUGGUCAAACUGGGGGUCAAAUUAGGGGGAUGAGGGGUGAGGAGGGGGAAGGAGGGGGUGAGAGGGUCAAAUUGGGUGGUCAACUUAUUGGAGGGAAGGGGAGGAGGGGUGCUCAAAUUUGGGGUCAACUUAGGGGGGAGGGAGAGGGGAGGAGGGGGGGAGGGGGGGUCAAACUGGGGGUCAACUUAGGGGGACGGAGAAGCAGGGGGAGGGGUCAAAUUACAGGUGGUGAGGGGGGGAGGGGUGGUCAACUUAGGGAGGGGUCAAGGGAGGAGGAGGGUCAAAUGAAGGGGGGGGGGUCAACUAAGGGAGGUAGGAGGAUCAAAUUUUGGGGGGUCAAAUGAGGGAGGAGGUCAAGUUAUGGGGGGUGAGGGGGAAGAAGGGGUGGUCAACUUGGGAGGCCAAAUUGGGGGUCAAAUUAGGGUGUGAGGUCAAACUAGGGGUCAAAUUAGGAUGAGGUCAAUUCAGGGUGGUGGGUGAAGGGGUCAGGGGGGGGGGUCAACUUGGCAGCCUGGAGGUCGUAAUACAAAGGCGGUGACUGACGGGACUGAUACACGUUUCUACCUCGUAAAUACAAUAUUGGUUUUUAUACAAAGUCUCAAAAGUAAUGUAUUUUAUUUAUAUAUAUAUAGAUUUAUUUCAUCUCUUAAUAUAUAUAGAUCUUCAUUUAUUUAAUCCUAGGCGGAGUUAUACAAGCAGGCAGUCUCUCUCUCUCUCUCUCUCUCUCUCUCUCUCUCUCUCUCUCUCUCUCUCUCUCUCUCU
Molecule: long non-coding RNA, 3150 nt
Organism: Eriocheir sinensis (Chinese mitten crab)
Lineage: Eukaryota; Metazoa; Arthropoda; Malacostraca; Decapoda; Varunidae
Exons: 2
Source: RefSeq, a predicted model, not a curated record